AUAUUUGUACCUAGGCUACAAAAAGUACAUGGCCUGUCACUCAAAAGUUGUUGAGGGAGGAGAUUCGGGACGGGAGCAACCGUUAUUUUUCCCCUUAACGUUGUUCAUCUCACUCAUCAAGGAAUGGCGCAACUUUCAGUGAGGAGCUUGGUCAAAGAUUGCGAUCUUUGGCUUGGUGUGAGAAAACACAUGUGCAGGAUGGAAUAAUCUUUGUGGAAGAGGAGGCAAAGCUAUUCAGAGAUACCCACCAAGGCAGAAUAUGCCACUUGGAAGUAAGCUUACCUUUCCUAAAGGAUCUAAUGACUACCUUUUCAGUGACGGCUAUUGCUGAACCAUCAGCUCUGGU
Alosa sapidissima (American shad) is the source of this 346-nucleotide long non-coding RNA. RefSeq lists it as uncharacterized. The record is from RefSeq and is a predicted model, not a curated record. The transcript has 3 exons. Lineage: Eukaryota; Metazoa; Chordata; Actinopteri; Clupeiformes; Clupeidae.